UCAAUAUUAUUUUUAUAUUAAGAAAUCAAUUUAAUAAAAAUAAAAAUAUAAUUUUAUACUUUCUUAUGACGAAGAAAAAAAAUAAUUUACUAAAAGAUUACCUGUAAUUUACCAUUAUGCCACAACUAUUUGCAAUACCUCGUGGCGAAGAAUCAGCCAUCCAAUUUAUUCUCCACAUGAUAGCUCCAUUACGCAAGUGAAAAUUUGCUAUGGUACCAUGCACAUGCCCGAAGUAAUGGUUUUUUAAGUAAAUUUGAUAAUUGCUCGUCAGAUGUCCAUAAUGAGUUAUUAAAAACUUUUUUUAACAUUGACAAUAUAUCAUCUGUUUGAAAAAUAUUUUUUAUAGAUUCUUGCUCUUCUAAUGUAAAUAUGAAAGAAAUAUCUAAAAAAAAAACGGAUAUUUAUGUAUUUACAUAUGAAUGUGUGUAUGUA
Polistes canadensis is the source of this 432-nucleotide long non-coding RNA. RefSeq lists it as uncharacterized. The record is from RefSeq and is a predicted model, not a curated record. The transcript is spliced from 2 exons. NCBI's taxonomy places the organism in Eukaryota, Metazoa, Arthropoda, Insecta, Hymenoptera, Vespidae.